Molecule: ribosomal RNA, 508 nt
Filed under: uncultured bacterium
Lineage: Bacteria
Description: bacterial SSU rRNA
Rfam family: Bacterial small subunit ribosomal RNA
Source: RNAcentral
UGCAAGUCGAACGAGAACUUCGGGUCUAGUGGCGCACGGGUGCGUAACGCGUGGGAAUCUGCCCUUGGGUCUGGAAUAACAGUUAGAAAUGACUGCUAAUACCGGAUGAUGACUUCGGUCCAAAGAUUUAUCGCCCAGGGAUGAGCCCGCGUCGGAUUAGCUAGUUGGUGGGGUAAAAGCUCACCAAGGCGACGAUCCGUAGCUGGUCUGAGAGGAUGAUCAGCCACACUGGGACUGAGACACGGCCCAGACUCCUACGGGAGGCAGCAGUGGGGAAUAUUGGACAAUGGGCGAAAGCCUGAUCCAGCAAUGCCGCGUGAGUGAUGAAGGCCUUAGGGUUGUAAAGCUCUUUUACCCGGGAUGAUAAUGACAGUACCGGGAGAAUAAGCCCCGGCUAACUCCGUGCCAGCAGCCGCGGUAAUACGGAGGGGGCUAGCGUUGUUCGGAAUUACUGGGCGUAAAGCGCAUGUAGGCGGCUUUGUAAGUUAGAGGUGAAAGCCCGGGGCUC